AACGUAGGUGGCAAGCGUUGUCCGGAAUCAUUGGGCGUAAAGAGCGUGUAGGCGGCUUGUUAAGUCUUGCGUGAAAUCUCGGGGCUCAACCCCGAGCGGUCGUGAGAAACUGGCAGGCUAGAGUGCGGGAGAGGAGAGUGGAAUUCCUGGUGUAGCGGUGAAAUGCGCAGAUAUCAGGAAGAACACCCGUGGCGAAGGCGGCUCUCUGGAACGCAACUGACGCUGAGACGCGAAAGCGUGGGGAGCAAACAGG
RNAcentral lists this ribosomal RNA (253 nucleotides) under uncultured bacterium. Its description in RNAcentral is "partial 16S ribosomal RNA". It matches the Rfam family "Bacterial small subunit ribosomal RNA", at positions 524 to 776 of the family's 1533-position model. The record is from RNAcentral.